This 68-nucleotide transfer RNA is filed under the name Cordylochernes scorpioides. RNAcentral's name for it is "tRNA-Thr". The record is from RNAcentral. Lineage: Eukaryota; Metazoa; Arthropoda; Arachnida; Pseudoscorpiones; Chernetidae.
UGUCCAGGGAUGGGAAUCGAACCCACAGUGUUCUGCUUACCGGGCAGAUGCCAUGUCGACUAGGCUUC